This 501-nucleotide ribosomal RNA is filed under the name uncultured bacterium. RNAcentral's name for it is "partial 16S ribosomal RNA". It matches the Rfam family "Bacterial small subunit ribosomal RNA", at positions 30 to 523 of the family's 1533-position model. The record is from RNAcentral.
AUUGAACGCUGGCGGCAGGCUUAACACAUGCAAGUCGAGCGGGGAAGGGUAGCUUGCUACCUGACCUAGCGGCGGACGGGUGAGUAAUGCUUAGGAAUCUGCCUAUUAGUGGGGGACAACAUUCCGAAAGGAAUGCUAAUACCGCAUACGCCCUACGGGGGAAAGCAGGGGAUCUUCGGACCUUGCGCUAAUAGAUGAGCCUAAGUCAGAUUAGCUAGUUGGUGGGGUAAAGGCCUACCAAGGCGACGAUCUGUAGCGGGUCUGAGAGGAGGGUCCGCAACACUGGGACUGAAACACGGCCCAGACUCCUACGGGAGGCAGCAGUGGGGAAUAUUGGACAAUGGGCGAAAGCCUGAUCCAGCCAUGCCGCGUGCGUGAAGAAGGCCUUUUGGUUGUAAAGCACUUUAAGCGAGGAGGAGGCUACUUGGAUUAAUACCUAGGGAUAGUGGACGUUACUCGCAGAAUAAGCACCGGCUAACUCUGUGCCAGCCGCCGCCGUAA